CAAGAUGGCCUGGAAACGCAAGGUUGCAGAGUGUUAUAGAGCAUUAAUGUGUACUUUGAGAAAAAGGGAAAAAAGGUCAUGCAUGUUAAUAAUUUUACAUGGCAAAUAUGGAGGAAAUCAUGGAAUUCCCCAGAAUUUAAAGCUCGGAGUGAGAAAUUUGCUGCAAACCAGCUUAAUGAGACUAGAGGACCUCGAUGUGGAUAUCUCAGCGCACAGGAGGCUCAAUUUCCUAUGCCUCUCAUGAGGAGAGACUGCGAUUGAAGCUUGGCCGUGACCCUCUUCCAUAUGAGCCUUUUGAAGUGACCCAUAUAAGGAAGGGACUUCAGAGCUUGUUAAUGCAUGAUCUAAGGCAACUAAGGAUCAUUACUUGGAGCAUAUGGAGCAGGCAUCUUAAACACAAGCAUGGCAUGGUGAGCACCUUGUUGUGGAUGAAGCAAUAAUAUACUGUGAAGCUGUGGGGGGAGAAAAAAAUGCAGGGUGUAUGGAGUAGGAUCCCAGAGAUCUAUUUUUUAUCCCUAAUUAUCUCAGAGCUUGUCUACCGGUACAUUAACCAAGGUAGCACAGGCUGAGAUUAGAGAGCUGCUUCAAAUAGUAUUUAGUUACAAGAUAACAAUAGACAACUUCAGUAGAGUCUGUGCAAGAUGAAAGAUGAGAAGGGCCAAAAUCGGGAGGAUAUUAUGCAUUUAGAGACCAGGAUCUUUCAAUGCUUAUAGUUUACAAAUCAUGACUCAACCAUUUAGUGAUAAUCAUGAUGUUGAACUUGUAGGUGAUCUGCAAUUUUAUUUGUC
This is a long non-coding RNA of Dioscorea cayenensis subsp. rotundata (Guinea yam), 788 nucleotides long. RefSeq lists it as uncharacterized. The record is from RefSeq and is a predicted model, not a curated record. Lineage: Eukaryota; Viridiplantae; Streptophyta; Magnoliopsida; Dioscoreales; Dioscoreaceae. The transcript is spliced from 3 exons.